Molecule: ribosomal RNA, 473 nt
Filed under: uncultured bacterium
Lineage: Bacteria
Description: bacterial SSU rRNA
Rfam family: Bacterial small subunit ribosomal RNA
Source: RNAcentral
UGCAAGUCGAGCGGUAGAGAGAAGCUUGCUUCUCUUGAGAGCGGCGGACGGGUGAGUAAUGCCUAGGAAUCUGCCUGGUAGUGGGGGAUAACGUUCGGAAACGGACGCUAAUACCGCAUACGUCCUACGGGAGAAAGCAGGGGACCUUCGGGCCUUGCGCUAUCAGAUGAGCCUAGGUCGGAUUAGCUAGUUGGUGAGGUAAUGGCUCACCAAGGCGACGAUCCGUAACUGGUCUGAGAGGAUGAUCAGUCACACUGGAACUGAGACACGGUCCAGACUCCUACGGGAGGCAGCAGUGGGGAAUAUUGGACAAUGGGCGAAAGCCUGAUCCAGCCAUGCCGCGUGUGUGAAGAAGGUCUUCGGAUUGUAAAGCACUUUAAGUUGGGAGGAAGGGCAGUAAAUUAAUACUUUGCUGUUUUGACGUUACCGACAGAAUAAGCACCGGCUAACUCUGUGCCAGCAGCCGCGGUAAU